Molecule: long non-coding RNA, 2542 nt
Organism: Heterocephalus glaber (naked mole-rat)
Lineage: Eukaryota; Metazoa; Chordata; Mammalia; Rodentia; Bathyergidae
Source: Ensembl
GGAUGCUGUAUGUUUGUUGGUUUUGCCCCUUGCCAUUUGGGAAUCUAAUGAAUAGCAUGAAAAGGCAUAGUCUUUGCAAAAAUGGUCUGGAAAAGUUUCAAAACAAAUGUUUAACUAUAACCUUCAACAACAACAAAGAGUAAGAAAGAAAGAGACAAAAGAGAAAACUAGAAAAUUUUAACAAAUUUUAUUUUCAGAGUACUGCAUUGAAAUAAUCAAAUACCCAAUUAAAAAAUCACAAGGCAUUCAAAGAAGCAGGACCAUAUGGUUCAUUCAAAGGAAUAUUAAAUGAUGGAAGCUGUCCUUGAAGAAACCUUGACAUCAGAAUCACUAUACAACCACUCUAAAACUAUAGUCUUAAUAUGCUUAAAGAGCUAAAAGAAAACAUAGGCAAAGAACUAAAUUAAAUCAGGAAAAAUAAUAUAUGAACACAAUGAAACUAUCAAUAAAGAUAUUGUUGAUCUUUACAAAAAUUACAAAAAUAGAAUCAAACAAAUUCUGGAGUUGAAAAGUGCAAUGACUAAAAUGAAAAUUCACCAGAAGACUGCAACAAGAGAGUAAAGAAGGCAGAAGAAAGAAUAGUAAACCAGAAGAUUAGAUAAACCAAAGUGUUGAAUCUAAGAAAUAGGACAAAAAUGAAAAGUAAACAGCAUAAGAAACUUUUGGAACAUCAUUUAAUGGACCAAUUUAUGCAUUAAGGAACUUACAAAAGAUAAAAGUAAUGGUCCAAGAAUUAUUUGGAAAAAUAAUGGUUUAACACUUUUCAAAUGUGAAGAAAGACAUGAGUCUUCAAAUCCAAAAACUUUAAGAAGGAUCACCCAAGAGACUCAUAUGAAGACCCAUUGUGAGCAAGUGUCAAAAGAAAAAGACAAAAAGAAUCUCAAAAGUAGCAAGGGAAAAAUAACUUGUCACAUAUAUGGGAUCUUCAGUCAAAUUAUCAACUGAUUUUUCAUAAGAAGCCAUGGAGGGCAAAAUGUAAUUCUAUGGUAUUUAUUAAAUGGUCAAAGAAGAAAACUGUCAAAUGAGAAUUCUAAAUCUGGCAAAGCAUAGAAGAAAAUAAUUCUGUCUACAUAACCAGGUUAAUUGUACUGAAGCAGGGCUUUGAAAAUAUUGUUAUCCUAUUUAUGAUGUUUCAAUGGUUCUCCAUUGCCUACAAGAUAUCCCGCUCAGAGUGAAAGCUGACUAGCACAGGGCUUAACACAGAGGAGCUGAAACCCCAUCUUUGCCAAAACAUCAGGCUGCCUUUCUUUCUGGAAAGACUUACCUCAGAAGCUGCGUGCAACAACUACUUAAACAAGGUGGAUGUUUCUUUUACUCUGCUGUAAAUGUCUGGGUGAAGAUACUUCAGGUGGGCAUUCUUUGAAGACCUUCUUUUCUGCCUCUGAGUCAUAAAGUCUCCUGAUCUCCAGAACCCGGCUCACCUGCACGAGUAGCAUCUGUCCUGCUGUCACCUUCUGAAGCGUGUACUGCUGCCAGCCCGGCCAGAGCACCUGACAUCCGCCCGACCCUCCCCACCUUGGUGGUGACCCUGAGUUUCUCUGCCUUCUGCCUUCCCCAGGAUGAUGUCUGCUAUGCGUUUAUCAUCAGUCGUCAUCUUGUGAUCCACAAACUUAUUUCUUUCCACCUGUUCCAUGGCUUCUUCAUGCGCUCUGGAUGUCAUUUUGGCCUUUUGCAGAGCAGCCGCAAGCUGAGAUUGGCCAGCUUCUCCUUCCGGUCUGGGGAUGUAUUGGGUCGUUGAUUCAUUAACACCAAACUGGGCUCAGCCGCACUGUCACUCAUGCCCACUCCAGCUUCUCUGACACGCGUACCUUAGGGUGCAUCACUGCCCUCCUGCUUAGGAGCUCUAGCAGCCACCAGCACUGAAGCAUCCAGGUCACUUUCAACAGAAAAAUCAUUAAAAUGCACAUGCACGUGAAAAACAUGGCACUGAAUAAGUAGACCGAGAAAAGGACGCUUGCUUUACAGCACUGAGCUGAAACAAGAAGGCUGUGUGGUUGCGUUCAGCCUCCUCGGGACCAUGUGUGGCAAGUGUCUGACAAUGACCGCCGACAGCGUGCCUACUGACUCUGGUGUUACAGUAGACUUUAGCAAGUAGGUAAAUUCACAAAUACAGAAUCCACCAGCAGCAAUGAUGAACUAUACGAAUUUGCUUCCGAACGCUCAUUUCUCUUUCUUUGUCUCUUGGGAUGUUUCUGCCUCACGACCACAUUUUAUUACUGUAGUUUUGAAUUGUGUGACUAUUCAAGAGAAUGGAUGUCUCCCCGGUUUGCUUUCGUUUUCAAAAUUGAUUUUCCUAUUUUGUGCACUUUUAUUUUUCUAUGAAUAUGUAAUGAUACAGUUUUUGAACCCUCAAAUAAUCCAGCUGGAAUCAUGCGAGGCAUUGAUUCAAUUUACAGAUUAAUUAGGAAAUGAGUGACUUUAGAAGGUUAAGUUAUCCAUUGAUGAGCAUGGUAUAUCUCAAUAUUUAUUCAGAUUUUCUUUUGUAUCAACUAAAACUAUCUACAUUUUUUCUUUUACAUUAUUUAUUAGGAAUAUUCUUAGG